Molecule: ribosomal RNA, 128 nt
Filed under: uncultured eukaryote
Lineage: Eukaryota
Description: partial small subunit ribosomal RNA
Rfam family: Eukaryotic small subunit ribosomal RNA
Source: RNAcentral
CCCUGCCAUUUGUACACACCGCCCGUCGCUCCUACCGAUUGGGUGUGCUGGUGAAAAUAUCGGAUUGGCUCUUUUCGGUGGCAACACUGGAUGGAGCCGAGAAGAUAUUUAAACCCUCCCACCUAGAG